GUAGGGAAUAUUGGGCAAUGGAUGCAAGUCUGACCCAGCCAUCCCGCGUGCCGGAAGAAGGCCCUCAGGGUUGUAAACGGCUUUUGACGGUGAAGAAUCGACAGGAUGCGUCCUGUUUUGACGGUAGCCGUUGAAUAAGCACCGGCUAACUCCGUGCCAGCAGCCGCGGUAAUACGGAGGGUGCGAGCGUUGUCCGGAUUUAUUGGGUUUAAAGGGUGCGUGGGCUGGAAGGUCAGUCAGCGGUGAAAAGCUGUCGCUUAACGAUAGUCUUGCCGGAGAUACUUCCUUUCUUGGAUGAGGAGGAGGCCAUUGGAACGGAUGGUGUAGCGGUGAAAUGCAUAGAUAUCAUCCAGAACACCGAUUGCGAAGGCAGGUGGCUGUACCUUAAUCGACGCUGAUGCACGAAAGCAUGGGGAGCAAACAGGAUUAGAAACCCCUGUAGUCC
This 445-nucleotide ribosomal RNA is filed under the name uncultured bacterium. RNAcentral's name for it is "partial 16S ribosomal RNA". It matches the Rfam family "Bacterial small subunit ribosomal RNA", at positions 354 to 796 of the family's 1533-position model. The record is from RNAcentral.